UUUAGCUCAGUUGGUAGAGCAACUGACUCUUAAUCAGUGGGUCCCGGGUUCGAAUCCCUGAUGG
This 64-nucleotide transfer RNA is filed under the name human gut metagenome. It matches the Rfam family "tRNA", at positions 7 to 64 of the family's 71-position model. Rfam says of the family: Transfer RNA (tRNA) molecules are approximately 80 nucleotides in length. Their secondary structure includes four short double-helical elements and three loops (D, anti-codon, and T loops). The record is from RNAcentral.